UUGCUCUCGGGUGACGAGCGGCGGACGGGUGAGUAAUGUCUGGGAAACUGCCUGAUGGAGGGGGAUAACUACUGGAAACGGUAGCUAAUACCGCAUAAYGUCGCAAGACCAAAGUGGGGGACCUUCGGGCCUCAUGCCAUCAGAUGUGCCCAGAUGGGAUUAGCUAGUAGGUGGGGUAACGGCUCACCUAGGCGACGAUCCCUAGCUGGUCUGAGAGGAUGACCAGCCACACUGGAACUGAGACACGGUCCAGACUCCUACGGGAGGCAGCAGUGGGGAAUAUUGCACAAUGGGCGCAAGCCUGAUGCAGCCAUGCCGCGUGUGUGAAGAAGGCCUUCGGGUUGUAAAGCACUUUCAGCGGGGAGGAAGGCGWUGAGGUUAAUAACCUYGKCGAUUGACGUUACCCGCAGAAGAAGCACCGGCUAACUCCGUGCCAGCAGCCGCGGUAAUACGGAGGGUGCAAGCGUUAAUCGGAAUUACUGGGCGUAAAGCGCACGCAGGCGGUCUGUCAAGUCGGAUGUGAAAUCCCCGGGCUCAACCUGGGAACUGCAUUCGAAACUGGCAGGCUAGAGUCUUGUAGAGGGGGGUAGAAUUCCAGGUGUAGCGGUGAAAUGCGUAGAGAUCUGGAGGAAUACCGGUGGCGAAGGCGGCCCCCUGGACAAA
This 663-nucleotide ribosomal RNA is filed under the name Klebsiella sp. C2d. Its description in RNAcentral is "bacterial SSU rRNA". It matches the Rfam family "Bacterial small subunit ribosomal RNA", at positions 72 to 737 of the family's 1533-position model. Lineage: Bacteria; Pseudomonadati; Pseudomonadota; Gammaproteobacteria; Enterobacterales; Enterobacteriaceae. The record is from RNAcentral.